This 281-nucleotide ribosomal RNA is filed under the name uncultured bacterium. RNAcentral's name for it is "partial 16S ribosomal RNA". It matches the Rfam family "Bacterial small subunit ribosomal RNA", at positions 334 to 632 of the family's 1533-position model. The record is from RNAcentral.
AACUCCUACGGGGGGCAGCAGUGGGGAAUAUUGCACAAUGGGGGAAACCCUGAUGCAGCAACGCCGCGAGAGAGAAGAAGUAUUUCGGUAUGUAAAGCUCUAUCAGCAGGGAAGAAGAUGACGGUACCUGAAUAAGAAGCCCCGGCUAACUACGUGCCAGCAGCCGCGGUAAUACGUAGGGGGCAAGCGUUAUCCGGAUUUACUGGGCGUAAAGGGAGCGCAGACGGCAGUGCAAGUCUGGAGUGACAGCCCGGGGCCCAACCCCGGAAAUGCUCUGGAAA